CGCCUAAUACAUGCAAGUCGAACGAAGUAGCAAUACUUAGUGGCAGACGGGUGAGUAACAUGUGGGUAUCUUCCCUUUGGUGAGGAAUAACACGAGGAAACUUGUGCUAAUACCUCAUAAGUCUUUACGGAGAAAGCUUUAUGCGCCAUUGGAUGAGCCUGCACUUGAUUAGUUUGUUGGUGGGGUAAUGGCUUACCAAGACAAUGAUCAAUAGCUGAUUUGAGAGGAUGAUCAGCCACAUUGGGACUGAGACACGGCCCAAACUCCUACGGGAGGCAGCAGUAGGGAAUCUUGCACAAUGGGGGAAACCCUGAUGCAGCGAUGCCGCGUGAGUGAAGAAGGCCUUUGGGUUGUAAAGCUCUUUCGUCGGGGAAGAAAAUGACUGUACCCGAAUAAGAAGGUCCGGCUAACUUCGUGCCAGCAGCCGCGGUAAUACGAAGGGACCUAGCGUAGUUCGGAAUUACUGGGCUUAAAGAGUUCGUAGGUGGUUAAAAAAGUUGGUGGUGAAAUCCCAGAGCUUAACUCUGGAACUGCCAUCAAAACUUUUUAGCUAGAGUAUGAUAGAGGAAAGCAGAAUUUCUAGUGUAGAGGUGAAAUUCGUAGAUAUUAGAAAGAAUACCAAUUGCGAAGGCAGCUUUCUGGAUCAUUACUGACACUGAGGAACGAAAGCAUGGGUAGCGAAGAGGAUUAGAUACCCUCGUAGUCCAUGCCGUAAACGAUGUGUGUUAGACGUUGGAAAUUUAUUUUCAGUGUCGCAGCGAAAGCAAUAAACACACCGCCUGGGGAGUACGA
Molecule: ribosomal RNA, 792 nt
Filed under: uncultured Pelagibacteraceae bacterium
Lineage: Bacteria; Pseudomonadati; Pseudomonadota; Alphaproteobacteria; Candidatus Pelagibacterales; Candidatus Pelagibacteraceae
Description: bacterial SSU rRNA
Rfam family: Bacterial small subunit ribosomal RNA
Source: RNAcentral